CCUACGGGAGGCAGCAGUGGGGGAUAUUGGACAAUGGGGGGAACCCUGAUCCAGCGACGCCGCGUGAGUGAAGAAGUAUUUCGGUAUGUAAAGCUCUGUCAGCAGGGAAGAAAGCAAUGACGGUACCUGACCAGAAAGCCCGGGCUAACUACGGGCCGGCAGCCGCGGUAAUACGAAGGGGGCAGGCGUUUUCCGGAAUUACUGGGGGUAAGGGGAGCUUGGACGGCUGUGCAAGUCUGGAGUGAAAGGCGGGGGCCCAACCCCCGGACUGCUCUGGAAACUGUAUGGCUGGAGUGCAGGAGAGGUAAGCGGAAUUCCUAGUGUAGCGGUGAAAUGCGUAGAUAUUAGGAGGAACACCAGUGGCGAAGGCGGCUUACUGGACUGUAACUGACGUUGAGGCUCGAAAGCGUGGGGAGCAAACAGGAUUAGAUACCCUAGUAGUC
This 443-nucleotide ribosomal RNA is filed under the name uncultured bacterium. Its description in RNAcentral is "partial 16S ribosomal RNA". It matches the Rfam family "Bacterial small subunit ribosomal RNA", at positions 338 to 795 of the family's 1533-position model. The record is from RNAcentral.